GCGGGGAUUCCGGAGUGGUCAAACGGGUCAGCCUCAAGAGCUGCUUGCCUCGUGCAUUCGCAGGUUCGAAUCCUGCUCCCCGCA
Molecule: transfer RNA, 84 nt
Filed under: Candidatus Woesearchaeota archaeon
Lineage: Archaea; Nanobdellati; Candidatus Woesearchaeota
Description: tRNA-Leu
Rfam family: tRNA
About the family: Transfer RNA (tRNA) molecules are approximately 80 nucleotides in length. Their secondary structure includes four short double-helical elements and three loops (D, anti-codon, and T loops).
Source: RNAcentral